This 252-nucleotide ribosomal RNA is filed under the name uncultured bacterium. RNAcentral's name for it is "partial 16S ribosomal RNA". It matches the Rfam family "Bacterial small subunit ribosomal RNA", at positions 524 to 776 of the family's 1533-position model. The record is from RNAcentral.
UACGUAGGUCCCGAGCGUUGUCCGGAUUUAUUGGGCGUAAAGCGAGCGCAGGUGGUUUAUUAAGUCUGGUGUAAAAGGCAGUGGCUCAACCAUUGUAUGCAUUGGAAACUGGUAAACUUGAGUGCAGGAGAGGAGAGUGGAAUUCCAUGUGUAGCGGUGAGAUGCGUAGAUAUAUGGAGGAACACCGGUGGCGAAAGCGGCUCUCUGGCCUGUAACUGACACUGAGGCUCGAAAGCGUGGGGAGCAAACAGG